Molecule: ribosomal RNA, 711 nt
Filed under: Fusarium verticillioides
Lineage: Eukaryota; Fungi; Ascomycota; Sordariomycetes; Hypocreales; Nectriaceae
Description: eukaryotic LSU rRNA
Rfam family: 5.8S ribosomal RNA (bases 331-484)
Source: RNAcentral
CUGCCCUUUGUACACACCCGCCCGUCGCUACUACCGAUUGAAUGGCUCAGUGAGGCGUCCGGACUGGCCCAGAGAGGUGGGCAACUACCACUCAGGGCCGGAAAGCUCUCCAAACUCGGUCAUUUAGAGGAAGUAAAAGUCGUAACAAGGUCUCCGUUGGUGAACCAGCGGAGGGAUCAUUACCGAGUUUACAACUCCCAAACCCCUGUGAACAUACCACUUGUUGCCUCGGCGGAUCAGCCCGCUCCCGGUAAAACGGGACGGCCCGCCAGAGGACCCCUAAACUCUGUUUCUAUAUGUAACUUCUGAGUAAAACCAUAAAUAAAUCAAAACUUUCAACAACGGAUCUCUUGGUUCUGGCAUCGAUGAAGAACGCAGCAAAAUGCGAUAAGUAAUGUGAAUUGCAGAAUUCAGUGAAUCAUCGAAUCUUUGAACGCACAUUGCGCCCGCCAGUAUUCUGGCGGGCAUGCCUGUUCGAGCGUCAUUUCAACCCUCAAGCCCUCGGGUUUGGUGUUGGGGAUCGGCGAGCCCUUGCGGCAAGCCGGCCCCGAAAUCUAGUGGCGGUCUCGCUGCAGCCUCCAUUGCGUAGUAGUAAAACCCUCGCAACUGGAACGCGGCGCGGCCAAGCCGUUAAACCCCCAACUUCUGAAUGUUGACCUCGGAUCAGGUAGGAAUACCCGCUGAACUUAAGCAUAUCAAUAAGCGGAGGAA